This 420-nucleotide ribosomal RNA is filed under the name Trogoderma sternale. RNAcentral describes it as "partial 16S ribosomal RNA". Lineage: Eukaryota; Metazoa; Arthropoda; Insecta; Coleoptera; Dermestidae. The record is from RNAcentral.
UUUAUUUAAAGUCUGGUCUGCUCACUGAAAUUUAAAGAGCCGCAGUAUUUUGACUGUGCGAAGGUAGCAUAAUAAUUAGUUUCUUGAUUGGGAACUGGUAUGAAUGGUUGGACGAGAAAUUGACUGUCUCUUUUUAAUUGUAAUGAAUUUUAUUUUUAAGUUAAAAAGCUUAAAUUUUUUUAAAAGACGAGAAGACCCUAUAGAGUUUUAUUUUUUCUUUUUUGUAUUAAUUUUAGGUAUUUAAUAUUUUACGAUUUGGAGAAAUUUGAUUGGGGUGAUUGAAAAAUUGAUUUAACUUUUUUUUUAUUUGAACAAAUUUAAUUGAUUAUUUGAUCCAUUUUUUGUGAUUACAAGAUUAAAUUACCUUAGGGAUAACAGCGUAAUCUUUCUUGAGAGUUCUUAUCGAAAGAAGGGGUUGCG